CCACAACGCCCGGGUACUACGAGCCUAGCUUAAAACCCAAAGGAUUUGACGGUGUCCCAUCCAACUAGAGGAGCCUGUUCUAUAAUCGAUGAUCCACGAUUUACCCAACCCCAUUUUGCCACUCAGCCUGUAUACCUCCGUCGUAAGCUUACCGUGUGAACGUUUUUAGUAAGUAUAAAGAUCCCACCAUAAACACGUCAGGUCAAGGUGCAGCUAAUAAUAGGGAAAGUUAUGGGCUACAAUUUCUAACAUAGAACAUACAAAUUACUGCAUGAAACACAGUAUGAAGGCGGAUUUAGCAGUAAAAAGA
Molecule: ribosomal RNA, 310 nt
Filed under: Limnonectes paramacrodon (lesser swamp frog)
Lineage: Eukaryota; Metazoa; Chordata; Amphibia; Anura; Dicroglossidae
Description: partial 12S ribosomal RNA
Rfam family: Bacterial small subunit ribosomal RNA
Source: RNAcentral